RNAcentral lists this ribosomal RNA (256 nucleotides) under uncultured bacterium. RNAcentral describes it as "partial 16S ribosomal RNA". It matches the Rfam family "Bacterial small subunit ribosomal RNA", at positions 524 to 776 of the family's 1533-position model. The record is from RNAcentral.
UACGAGAGGCCCAAACGUUUAUUCGGAAUUACUGGGCUUAAAGAGUUCGUAGGCGGCGCAGAAAGUAGGGUGUGAAAGCCCUCGGCUUAACCGAGGAAUUGCGCUCUAAACUACUGUGCUUGAGGAAUCUAGAGGUGAGCGGAACUGAUGGUGGAGCGGUGAAAUGCGUUGAUAUCAGUCAGGAACGCCGGAGGCGAAGGGCGGCUCACUGGGGAUUUUCUAGACGCUGAGGACGAAAGCCAGGGGAGCGAACGGG